CCUGCCUCGAUCCGCGGCGUCAUGGUUGCCGUAACAACCCUUCUUCAGUGGUUUUCAUUCUUUUCCCUGGCUACCCUGCAGAAGCCGUUUCUGCCGGUGGUCAAGGAUGUUCUCGUGUACGUGUGCAUGAGCGGCGCGCUGCUCUACCUGGUGACGAUUGUGCUGGCCUUCGGGCUUGCAGAUAAGGAGAUGGAGCAAUACCUGACACAGACGGCGCGUGCUGCGGUGCCAGACGGUAUGUCGACGAAAGGCAACGCCGUGCUCGUGCCCUUUUCGUAUGAGGCGUUUGUGAGUGCCUCUGUCACUGUGAGUGUCGUGGCAGCGCUCGCUGUUCUGCUGUGCUGCAGCUUUGUGCUACAAGUGGCAUGGGACGGCAUGGUGACCUGUGUGGCGCCGAUGGUGGCGCUGACGGUGAACACGGUGAAGCCCAAGUGCUGGGACACCGCAGAGGAUUAUCGUGGGAAGGUGCCACCACCGCCAGAGGCGGCAACGUAGAAACAACAUCGGCAGCUUGCCUGGUCGGCUUUCCCGGCUAGCAUAGCUAGAGUGGUGGCGCGUUGUUCCUUCCGCUACUCGCAGGCCGCGGCUGAGCGGUGGUGAUGGCAUCGCUGCGGCGCUCGAUGGCCGUUCUCUCUCUGUGCGUGGCUCUCCGUGAAAGCAGGUGCGCACUAGUGUGUCCUUUGAAGGGGCUGUCCUGAGCCUCCGCUGCUGAGCGGAAGCGCGUCGAGGAAUGAGGAGAAACACACAGGAGCAGCCCUCCGCGUCCGCGCGGCCCCACACCCGAUGGCUCGUACCUACCCACCAGCAGAGUGCUGUAUGGGCACUGCCAGUUGCACGAUUCACCGCUUCCCUUUCAAACAAAGUGAUUUCGACCGCACCGAUAUGCUCACCUACUGUGGGGCCCGCUCUCGCAGCACUGCCGCAAGAGAGCGACGCGUCUCCUUUCUGCACCGUAGGCGCUAGCGUCUCGGAAGGGCUUGGAGGAGGCGGGUUCAGUGGCGCUGGCGCGGGCCACGGUCACCAGCGGCGGCACCGCUCUAGAGAAAGGCAGCCUACUUCCGCUUUCUUCCACCCGCGCGUUCGUCUCAUGCCCCUCCGCCUCCUCCUUCGUGUCCCUCUACGGCCAUCUCAACAUCUGCACCUUCCUCGCUUUUUUUUUUGCGUUUCCUCGUCGCAG
This 1177-nucleotide unclassified non-coding RNA is filed under the name Leishmania donovani. Its description in RNAcentral is "gene:LdHU3.34.3400(CDS-product:hypothetical_prote in_conserved)". Lineage: Eukaryota; Euglenozoa; Kinetoplastea; Trypanosomatida; Trypanosomatidae. The record is from RNAcentral.